UCUUUCCGUUGACCGUUCACACUUCCUCAUUAUCGUGGAGAAGAGAAGAUGCUUGGUUCCGGCGAAGGAGUUCAAGGCUGCUCGGGACGAGAAUGCAGGUGAGUUUGAUCCUUCACUGUCACACAAGUGCCAGGGACACCGCCCAAUCUAAAGAUGUGAGUCUACAAAAGGCAACGUAACAUCAUGGUAGAUAAUUUUUUAUACUAAUUAAGAGUUAGUUGAAUCUAGGUCUUACCCAUUAGAACAGUAACGUAAGCAAUGGGUGUUGGACCAUUAUAACUUUCUGUUUCCACCUAUUAAAAGGGGUCAACCAAGGACUUGCAUCUACUUCUAUGUACAUAUAUAAUACUUAAACUCCAAAAAAUAUAGAAAUUUACGCUUAUCAUAUUUUACUUUAUGUGUUAGAUAAUUAAUAAUUGUAAGCUUUGUAAUUAAGAUCUAGUUUUUAUUUUAUCUAUAUAUUUUGUCUUCAGAUCUUAUGCACAAUAGUCUCACAAUGUAUAGUGAUGGUAUUUCCCUUGCUUUCCAAUGUGUCGUUCCCUUUAAUCACUUAGAGCUCAGAAAUUCAACUUACCCAGAGGCCUAUGUUGCUUUCCUUGUAGGCUGUAACAUACAAUAAGAGAUAGAUGAAUCGAUUUCCUACUGGAUUUCACCAUUUUAAAGUGCUUUAAAAAUAUCUUUUUUGAACUCUCGCUGUUGCAAGUACGCACAAGUUGUAAUAGAACUCUCCUCAAUUUUCUUCUAAAAUAAUUUAUUUUUCUCUAAUUUGACCUCAUUUGAUGCAUGCUUGUUUAUUAACAUCUAUUUCUUCAUAUGCCUGAAAAAAUAUACAUGUACCACAAAAAAACGAAGAGCUAAAGAUUGAGAUCUUCAUUAUUGGGUUAGUCUAUUCAAGCAUAUUAUAUAUUUAUGUCAUUAAUUACUAACAACAAAUUCAUUCACCUAAUAGUUUCUAACUUUUGAUGUUUUAUUUAAUUUCUGAAAAGAUUUCAUGAUUUAUCAUGAUAAAAUUUAAUAUCUAAAAACAUUCAUAGCAUGGAUGAGGAAAUAAUGUUUUGAUACGAUGCACACUUUCCCUCACUAAUGGAUCCAUGUCCAUACAUGCCCCUCUAUGCUCACACUUUUCUACUUUCUUUCCUGUUUUGUGAACAUGAGAGAUGAGUAUAUGGUGAAUAAGCAUCAAAAAGACUUGUUGACUUGAUCAAGUUUGUCUUCUAGUGUACUCAGCUUAUCUUCAUCACUCUUCAACAUGUUUUCUAUUCAGUGAAGGAAGUCAAUGAUCACUCAUAAGUCGCUAUUAUUAAGAUUGUCAAUUUUAAAUUUAUAAAAUGAUUUUCAUGAGAUUAGUUCCUUGAUGAAUUAGUAGAAAACUAGGUCAAACACAAGGAGAGUUUUGAAUUAAUUGAUGUAUAUUAAUUAAUGAUGAUAUUUUGAUUUAUUUACUCUCUAAAAUUUAGUAGCCACAAACAAAAAUCUUAAAUGCACAUUGAGAGAAAAAUUCCUCUCAAGGUUUAACCUAUCACUUUGUAAAUAAAUCACGAAUGGCUAGUGAAGAUGAUUUCCCACUUCUUCAAUGACUUAGACUACUCAAAAUAGAUGAGGCGAGGGGGAAUAGAGUCUCACGAAAUUUUGAUUGAAUUAACUAGGAUAAAAGAGGUUUAAUUACAUGAAAGUUAAAGGAAGAAAAUGACAAUGAUUUCUCCCUCCUAUUAUGACAGACUUGGGGAGAAAAGGACGGCUUCAUAUAGGGGCAUCUUUGAUUGAUCCUCUUCUUGCUGCACCAAGGGAGGAGACACAUCAUUGCCAGCACUAUCACCACCAGGAGGAGGAGGGAGAGAUGAGCUAGCCCACCUAUGGUGUGUUGUAGGUGGCACCAAGAGAGAGAGGAG
RNAcentral lists this long non-coding RNA (1889 nucleotides) under Spirodela polyrhiza (greater duckweed). Its description in RNAcentral is "long non-coding RNA (SPOL_LNC001472)". The record is from RNAcentral. Lineage: Eukaryota; Viridiplantae; Streptophyta; Magnoliopsida; Alismatales; Araceae.